UACGAUUGAAGUGGAAAACAGGCUUAUUGCUUGUUGCAGUUAUUAGCGCUCUCCAGACUAUUGCCGCUAACCCCAAAUAUGACAUUUAACAAUACUGUGUAAUAUUUGCAUGGGUCAUUGUAAAUAUAUAUCUUCUCUGGAAAAACCUGAUAUUGAAAACGUUAAUCACAAAUAUAUUUCUUCUUAGAACGACCCAAAAUUUAGAACGACAUAAUUUGUAUGGCAACUGAUGUAAACUUUUUAAAUUUUUAAUCUACGCCCCUCUUGAAAACCAGCUUUUGCUGUAGGGGUUAGCGUAGUCAAAUAAAGUUUUUACUUACUUACAUCAAUUAAACAAGCUUGGUACGGACCGUUUCCGUUACAGUUUCUGAUUCUCAAAAUACUGUUCUAUACAAGACAUCUGGUUUCAUUCUUCUAUAAAAAUAUCAAUGUACAAACUUUUUUGGUCGGAAAUGUGUCUUUUCCACUAUUCAAGAAACUGUAUGGAGCCACCUUAAAUUUUGACGAUGUUUGCAUGAUGGUCGGAAGAGUUAGUAGUUUUUAUUCUAUUUCAAUAUUUUAAUUUUUCAAAUAGCUUGCAGUAUAAUAAAACUAUAUCCUGGUCGAUCAAAGUAAAGUCCCGGUCAAUUGCAAACGAGGAUGCAUGAGAGUUGAUGAGACAACUGUGAUGAGACUUUGCAAUUCCAGUGCUCGCGCUUGACCGCUAACUCUCAAUGACUGACAUGCAUGUACUAUCAACUUUAAGCUGGUUCAAAUUUUGAACGCUACGCACGACCCAUACAGUCAACUCUCAUCAGCUCUCGUCCUCGUUUGACCAGGGCUUUAGCUAUAGCCUCCUCCGCAGGCAUCUCACCCGGGGAACCCAUUCGCAGGCUAUCAUUGCCCCAUAUUUUAAUGCACUGAAAUGAUUUCCACGGACUUAACUUUCCAUGCAUUUCGUGAGUGAAUACAGCUACUUCAAUUAAGGUUGUCCACGAGCAAAGCGGAAAAGUCGAAUACGAGCGCGAAAGGCUGCUGGGAACCGCUUUGAAAAUUCA
Molecule: non-coding RNA, 1037 nt
Organism: Paramuricea clavata
Lineage: Eukaryota; Metazoa; Cnidaria; Anthozoa; Malacalcyonacea; Plexauridae
Source: the annotation of a GenBank genome assembly